Long non-coding RNA from Cervus elaphus (red deer), 843 nucleotides. RefSeq lists it as uncharacterized. The record is from RefSeq and is a predicted model, not a curated record. NCBI's taxonomy places the organism in Eukaryota, Metazoa, Chordata, Mammalia, Artiodactyla, Cervidae. The transcript is spliced from 3 exons.
UCUUUACUGACAAUUCCUCAGGAGAGAGGGGAGUCGUUCUAAAUAAUUGUGAGUUGAGGUUGCCUCAUUUUUUUCGGAGUCCUUUUUCAUUCCAAGCGUCUAGCUGCAGCACCUGUAGAGAGAAGAUGACUCUGAUGGAGACUGAUGGAGAAGGGACCUGGCAUGCAUCCUUUUUUUGAACCUCUUCUUUUUGGAUAGGGGUUCCAGCUGUCUGCUGCCCACCUCCACCUACGACUACCCUGGCCAACAUGGUAUCUGAAGUGAAGUCCUCCUCCCUGCCGGCUGCUCAUAUGGACACAGCCUUUCAGAACUCCAAGCACGGUUUGGUCCAAAUGUUAAAGUGGCUCCAGGUAUGGAUGAACAUAUGCCAUCGGAGAUGGAGGAGGAAGGCCUCACCUGGACAUGUUUAUUGGUGCUGAGUUUUGAAGGAAAGUCCCCAGGAGGCAAUUUCAGGUACACACAGAAGAAAGAAUAUGAUCGAGGCAGAAUCACAAGUCACACUGUCAAUGCUCUUGGGUGCAAAAAUGUCUCAUGCAAAUCUCUUUGACCUGAAGUAACUGAAGGCGCCUUCAAAACAGGAGCCUAUUGCUUACUCAGCAGAUCCGCAAUGAACACCACUCACCACAUCUUGUUCUCCCGGACUCCAAAUCACCAGGGUUUAAUUAGACACUUCUGAAACUAAGUCUGGCUUCUGCGAACCCAUCAUGGAUGAACUGAGCCACAGUGAUGCAACGGGAUUAGCGUUUGUCUUUGUGGUUUACACAGGUAAAGAAGGUAACUAAAGUCCGAGCGUUCCACUCUUGUGACGUGAAGACUAUGGCUGCUGCGUGGUUCUGACCUAGG